AGCUCUUAAGCAAGAGCAGCAACCCCUAACCGAUCGAUUGAAUAACAUCAAGCGUGGCCUACUCCACGAAGCCUCUCUCGACCCUACCGGCCUCUUCGCAUCUCGCCUUCGCAUUCUAUUCGGCGAGGAAGAUUGAAAUGAAAGCUGGUGUUAAUUUUCCAUGUGAGUUCUUUUCUACCUCUUUCUAUGAUUUGACAAAAAAAAUAUCAUGUCUAUGAGGCAAAAUUAUCGCUUUGUUAAAUGAUUUUGAAUAAUUCAUACUUUUAGUAUGUCUUACAAGUGCUUAUAAUGCUGUUUUCUGCUUAUUUUCUGUUAGUGUGGACGAAAAUGAAUCAAUGUCAAUUGAGAUUAUUGUUUCAGCUACUCAUA
RNAcentral lists this unclassified non-coding RNA (369 nucleotides) under Hevea brasiliensis (rubber tree). The record is from RNAcentral. Lineage: Eukaryota; Viridiplantae; Streptophyta; Magnoliopsida; Malpighiales; Euphorbiaceae.